AAGGAGAAGUUACCCUUCCUGGGGCGCAAGCUAAGUGGGCAGGCCUGGGAUGGUGGUGCCUCAGGCCACAGUUCUAAGGAAGGAAGCUACACCAAGGGUGGAAACUCCCGACCACACUUACUUCCUCCUGCGUGCAGCGGUUGGUUUACACUUCAGCCGACUCAAACCGGAUAGUUUCUACAAGGGGAGGCUGAAGAGUCAGAAGAAUGCAGCUGGAAGAGGAAGGAAGAAGGAGGAAGAGUAUGGUGGAGGGGAAUCUGCAGGAUCACAUGGCUAACUCCACGGACUGCGGUGGCUUGGCAAAGCAAGACGUGCCCUCUAAGCAAAACACUGCCGCAAGUGACCGCCAUCAAAACGAAGCAUGCUUGCUGAGGGUGUGAGGUCUGAAUAUGCUUGGUGAAUGUGCCCUCUGGGAUACACUUAGUUAUGUCCAUUUAUUCCUGCUGCCUGUAUGGUGUGUGUUAUUUAAUACUGAAUUUACCGAGUAUUUAUUGUGUCCAUUUGUGUCUUUUAACUAACCUGUGAAGCUUAAGACACAUUUCCA
This is a long non-coding RNA of Alosa sapidissima (American shad), 544 nucleotides long. RefSeq lists it as uncharacterized. The transcript has 3 exons. Lineage: Eukaryota; Metazoa; Chordata; Actinopteri; Clupeiformes; Clupeidae. The record is from RefSeq and is a predicted model, not a curated record.